Molecule: ribosomal RNA, 1512 nt
Filed under: uncultured bacterium
Lineage: Bacteria
Description: 16S ribosomal RNA
Rfam family: Bacterial small subunit ribosomal RNA
Source: RNAcentral
AGAGUUUGAUCCUGGCUCAGAAUCAACGCUGGCGGCGUGCCUAACACAUGCAAGUCGAACGCGAAAGGGGCUUCGGCCCUGAGUAGAGUGGCGAACGGGNNNNNNNNNNNNNNNNNNNNUACCUCUGAGUGGGGGAUAACGUUCCGAAAGGAGCGCUAAUACCGCAUGACGUCCUGGGUUUGAAGACCUGGAAACCAAAGUCGGGGACCGCAAGGCCUGACGCGAUUGGAGCGGCCGAUAUCUGAUUAGCUAGUUGGUGAGGUAAAGGCUCACCAAGGCGACGAUCCGUAGCUGGUCUGAGAGGACGACCAGCCACACUGGAACUGAGACACGGUCCAGACUCCUACGGGAGGCAGCAGUGGGGAAUUUUGGACAAUGGGGGCAACCCUGAUCCAGCCAUGCCGCGUGAGUGAAGAAGGCCUUCGGGUUGUAAAGCUCUUUCAGCCGGGAAGAAAACGCAUGGGUUAAUACCCUGUGUGGAUGACGGUACCGGAAUAAGAAGCACCGGCUAACUACGUGCCAGCAGCCGCGGUAAUACGUAGGGUGCGAGCGUUAAUCGGAAUUACUGGGCGUAAAGCGUGCGCAGGCGGUUCUGCAAGUCAGGCGUGAAAUCCCCGGGCUCAACCUGGGAACUGCGCUUGUGACUGCAAGGCUAGAGUACGGCAGAGGGGGGUGGAAUUCCACGUGUAGCAGUGAAAUGCGUAGAGACGGGCAGGAACACCGAUGGCGAAGGCAAUCCCCUGGGCCUGCACUGACGCUCAUGCACGAAAGCGUGGGGAGCAAACAGGAUUAGAUACCCUGGUAGUCCACGCCCUAAACGAUGUCGACUGGUGUUGGAGGGUUUCCGCCCUUCAGUGCCGAAGCUAACGCGUGAAGUUGACCGCCUGGGGAGUACGGCCGCAAGGUUAAAACUCAAAGGAAUUGACGGGGACCCGCACAAGCGGUGGAUGAUGUGGUUUAAUUCGAUGCAACGCGAAAAACCUUACCCACCUUUGACAUGUACGGAAGAUCGCAGAGACGCGAUUGUGCUCGAAAGAGAACCGUAACACAGGUGCUGCAUGGCUGUCGUCAGCUCGUGUCGUGAGAUGUUGGGUUAAGUCCCGCAACGAGCGCAACCCUUGCCAUUAGUUGCUACAUUUAGUUGGGCACUCUAAUGGGACUGCCGGUGACAAACCGGAGGAAGGUGGGGAUGACGUCAAGUCCUCAUGGCCCUUAUAGGUGGGGCUACACACGUCAUACAAUGGCUGGUACAAAGGGUUGCCAACCCGCGAGGGGGAGCCAAUCCCAUAAAGCCAGUCGUAGUCCGGAUCGCAGUCUGCAACUCGACUGCGUGAAGUCGGAAUCGCUAGUAAUCGUGGAUCAGCAUGUCACGGUGAAUACGUUCCCGGGUCUUGUACACACCGCCCGUCACACCAUGGGAGCGGGUCUCGCCAGAAGUAGUUAGCCUAACCGCAAGGAGGGCGAUUACCACGGCGGGGUUCGUGACUGGGGUGAAGUCGUAACAAGGUAACC